GGGGUAUCUAUGAGUAUAUGAUUGAAAAAAGGAUAUACCCGAAUGAAAUGACAACUAGAAUUAUGAUUAGUGCUUUGUGCAAACAAGGGAGGUUACAGAGAUUUUUGGAUGUUGUGGAGAAAAGUCAUGGAAAAAGAUGUCGACCUGGGGUUGUUGUGAAUACGUGUUUGAUAUAUGGGAUGAUUGAGGAAGGUAGAAUUGAAGACGGGUUAAGGUUGAU
Molecule: unclassified non-coding RNA, 220 nt
Filed under: Hevea brasiliensis (rubber tree)
Lineage: Eukaryota; Viridiplantae; Streptophyta; Magnoliopsida; Malpighiales; Euphorbiaceae
Source: RNAcentral